CAGUUCGGAGGCCGCGGCGACGGGGGGAGGCGAGGGAGGGGGAGACCUUUCCUCAAAGCGAUCCCCGCUGCGAAGCCAUCUCUCGUGUACAUUACUGAACCUUCUCUGGAGUUACAGGAAGUUUUUAAAUGGAAACUGAGAUCUGGAGAUGCUAUGCUUUCAGACACAAGAGGAAGGAUAUCUCCUGGAUGGAGAUACCUACAUGAAGCUUCAUCAUUCCUGAACCUUGGGAGGUUUGAGGAAGAGGACAGCAGAUGAGAGGCUGCAACAUUCAGCUCUUAAGCUGGAGAGUCUCUCUUUCCCUCCCGUGCUACGAAAUGGGUACAAGAAACACUGACCAACACAUGUAGCCUCAUCACAUCCCAAGACCUCUGCCCAGUACCCCAGCACCUGCAGGGAUGGGAUUACAGCAGCACCUAUGCUGAGGUUUAAAACAAGGAUAAAUUCCUAGCCUUUAGUUUUGUGGGGCUCAGUCUGAAAUGAGACAGGGUUGAGACCAAUCCAGUGAUGUCUGUUGGAGCCCAAAGCCUCCCUCUGCAGCCAGCCAGACACGUUCCCCAGACUGCACCCGGCAGUGCGGAUCUCUGCUGUGGCUCAUCUGCCUCCUCCUCUGUGCCCAGUUUCAAAUCUCUUCAGCAAUAUGUUCUGUAACAAUUAAGGAUUUCUGGGGCAACUCCAUUAAGAUCAGAAAGAUAUCCUUCUGCUUUGAAAUAUGUGAGCAUUAAUGAUCCAUUCAGCACAGCACCCCUUGGCCAGUCAUAUCUCUCUGAUGAUCAAAUAUAUUUUUAAUUAUCAAUCUAUCUGAGGGGAUUUUUUUUUCACUAGACAAUAUCCAACUGUAUUGUAAGAGCCAUUUGGAUUGAUGCAGAGAAUUUGGCAGCAAGAUAGGGAACAUUUGGGCUUUCAACACUUAGGAACAUAUGGAAAGAGGUUUGGAAGAUUGCCACGUGGGAUGUAGCUUGGAAGAUGCUACAUUUCUUCAUCCUUUUUGUUUUUUUUUCUGAAUAGAAAUAGAAGAAAUUUUACUUUUUUUUUUUUUUUUAGGAUCCUAAUUCCUGUUUAUUUUCUAUGCUGUUCUAGGAUAAACCACUAUGGUCAGCUGCAUGUUUAUGGGCAGCUGUAGGUGGGCAAUUAAAAGGGUGGUGACAUUGCAGAUCUUUCCAAGUUUUUACCUCCUAAUUCAUGAGAACCCACAGAGGUGAACUCACAAAGCUGCAGCUGGGUGCCUCAGGGCACGGGGUGAAGGAGGGUAUGUGGUGCCCAGCCUGUCAGGAUGUGCACCAUUUUCUGAGGGCUGUGAGGGUAAGGCCCUGCUGGUGCUCCUUCCUUCAUGCUCCUGCUGGGACCAUCUCUCUCCCACUCACCUUGACACCCAGGACUGGACAGACGGUCCAGGCUGUCUGUGUGUCUCUGGUACAGAGUUUCACCAUGUGGCUUGGAGCUUCAGCACCAUAUUACAAAUCCCAGUCACCUUUGAGAAAGCAUGGGAAUGGGACAGAGGAACCUCCUCCAGCUCAGCACUCAGGACUGGACGUGUAUGAACCAGCAUAAUCUUCAUACCACUUUAGGGACAAAUGCCUCAAGCCCAUGAUGGGAGUAUUCUGUGUCUCUCAGAGUUAUUGCCUCUGCUUGUCAGAAGAACAAUGCUUUUUUUCUAAUUUUUAAAAUUUUUUUCUUGGUGUUUCUAUUGUGUCCCAGGCUGGGGGGCUGCAGCAAAUGCAGAAUUCAUUGGAAUACACAAACUUGUAUUUGCACAAUUGGCGAGUGGGCCCUGCAGCUUAGUAAUGCUAAUUAAUCUCUCAGACUGCUAGGAAAUCAUCAUUAUCCCAGCUCAGCAAUGAGAGACAAAGACCUAAGAGAGUGGCAGGGGUUUAUACUGAGUGACAGAGUCAGAGCAGAGAGAAUUGCAGUCUGCUUUGGUGUUCUGAACAGUAAACUACCCAAGUUUGGCAAGACUGCAUCUGAAGAGCAGAAUGGAGGCACCUGGGGAUUUUCCCUUGAUCCCUAUCUCCAAGAGCUCAGCUCAGGGCAGGCUGCAGCUCUCAUCCCACCUGACUGCUCAGAUUUCCUUUCCUUGAGAAGUAAGAGCAAUGGAGACUGCAGCAGGGAGCUGGAAACCGUCCUGACUAUGCAUUCACUUCUGGGAACUGGGAAUCACUCUCAGACACCCUUGUUUUGGUUAGAGUCUGAGUGUUUAUUGUCCACAAAUUCAUUGCAGCUUUCAUCUUGCAUUUUCCUGUGAGAGUUUGUUUCAACACUUGCAGCCAAAUAAUGACUCGACAAGGCAAGUAAGUUCCUGUUAUUUCUUUGCUAAUGGGAUGCCAUUAACAUCACUAAGAUAUCCCUAGCUGAGGUGAAGGCUAAGAAGAUGACAUCCAGGAUCAGGAAGAGAGCAUGGAGGGCUUGGUGACAAGAGCACAGGAAGAAGAAUCUCCACCAAAGGUAUUCAAAGACCUGUAGCAAUAGCUUUUGAGGACUGACCACAGAAGUCAGAAGACCAAAAACAUAGGCAAAUCCCUAAGUCAUGUGGAUGGUAUUUGUUUUAGAAUGAAAUCUCUGCCUUUCUGAAUAAAACCUGGAAACUAUCGUGUGAGCUUCAAGUAUAUUUUUAACCAUAUAUACAGUGACUGCACGUUUCUGAGUCAGCUGAAAUUUGAUUCAGAAUGUUUUAAUAUUUUGCUCCUUCUCACAGAGCACACCUUGAUGGACAAUAGUUAUUCCUAUUUUCUGUGGCCAUAAUAACCCCAAGAUCUGCUGUUCUGAGGAUGCACUUCCCUUAUUGAGUUUCAGUUUUGGUGUCAAUUUGGAAAUCUUUUGACUCUAACACAGUUACAUCCAUAAUUUUCUUAGAGAGAUUAUGGAGCAUUAAAACUAAUGUAUGGACCAACCUUUCCUAAAACCCAUCCAGUUACAUGCUUCUUUGCAUCUCCAUUCCCAUCUCUACUGAUGUAAAAGGAGAAAAGUGACUCUCCUAUCAGCCUGCUCCUGCUGUCUGAUUAGCUGGCAGCUAUCACAGCUCUUCUUUUGCUCUGUUACAGUUUCAUUUCCAGAGGUAAAAGCCCUGAUGAAUAUUGAGCCUCAGGAUUGUGGCACCGCUGCAAAUUAAAUGAGGCUUCUGUUUAUACCAAAGGGCCGGCAGUACCUCCUUAAUCAGGCUGUCUGUUCUUUAGAAAUCAGCAGAUAUUUUGCCUAAAAGCACCCAGCAGUGCAGUGUAACUCAGUAAUAACUGUUUAUUGGGGCUCAGGAGGGAAACCCCAGAAGAAAAACUGUAGGUGCAGUUAGAAGCACUGGUGAGUGGUUGCCUUCGGGGAGUUUCUUUUGUCUUUUGUUUUAAGAUUGCCUGAACUUGAUGGAGGCUCUUUCAUUUAAAAGACAGAAAGACCUACAAAUUAAGCAACAUCUAGCUCCUAAUGUGUGAAACUGCAAUUUGCAUACAUCAUGGCAGCUGCUGAGUUGGUCCUUAUUACCUCUGCUGGAGUGUUAAUUUAACCACAACUUUAUCAUUAAUUUAAAUGGAAAAGCAGCGGGUUGCUGGCAUGCCACAUUAUCUGUCAGGCAACCUGGGAAUCAGCUGACAGAGCCAGAAAGAGAUUUCAAUUCAGAGGGGCUGCAGGGUGCUGCCUCCCCAACCUGUGGUCACAGACAAGCUCCAGAUUGCCCUUAGCCUGCUCUAAAGGUCAACACUAAACCUAAGGAAAAAACCCCAAAUCAAUAUAGUAUCUGGUCUGUCAUAAGAGAAUAGUUAACACAGUCAAACCUGAAAUCUCUGUAUUUCUGGUUUUUCUGUCCCUCUGUACCCAAACUGGCACUGUUUAUACAGAUAUGAUAACCAAAACAUCACUACUGCUUCUGACAACAAAUGGUUUGUAGAGCAACCAUUGCAAUGUGGUCCAGACCCACCCCGAGGGCUGAAGGCACCUGGGCUCUCUGCCCAGGCAGGAGAUGCCAAAGCCCCACGCAGGACGUGCUGGGAGCAGGGAGCAGCUGUGUCAUGAACGGUGCCGGGGCCUGGAGGCACCUCCACACUCAGCUGAUGCCAGAACCGCUCAUGUGGGACGUAAAGCAAACGUGAGGUACCAGUUGCCAAACCAGAGGUUGCCUCAUUCUCCAGGAAAAGAGGCUGAGAAACCCCAAGAAACUGCUGAAAUGGGAGAUGAGAAAAGCAGUGUGAGCCACCCAUGGGCAUGGGGUCACCAAGCAUGAGGGUCUCCUCUCCCAAGCCAUGAUGAUGUGCCACCAUUUGGUGACACAACAGUAUUUUUCAGUGGAGAAUGAGGUUCUGCUCUGAACCAUGGCAAGAAUGACCGGGGAGAUGAGUUCAGAACCUCAGUUGUGAUGUUUCAGUGGCAGAAAAGAAAAAGCAUGUCCUGAUGUCUGGCAGAGUUUAACUGAGCUGAUGUAGGUCUCCUCUAAGUUCAGCUAGAACUGACUGUGACUGAUGGUCCUGCUCCUGGCAAACCAGAGCAAAGCUUCACCCAUGGACACUUCGUGUGCACCCACCCACCAGAACAGGUGUCCUGCUUUCGGGUGAAGUGUGAACCUUGGGUAGCUGUUCUCAAAGUCUGGAUUGUGAUAAAGACACACUUGGAAAAUGGUCAGACUUUCUCCUAAAAAAAGGCUAUUUUUCCAACAAGUGAAUCACUAAGAGUUAAGAUUUAGAAAGGAAUGUCUUUGCUCAUGCAGCACCAGCACGUACUGUAUGACUGGUGUUAUGCAGACACUGUUCUGAAACAUUAAAUUUAACACAUAUUUCCUAAACACAGAUAAAUUUGCAUUAAACGUGCCUUUUCUGUC
Non-coding RNA from Taeniopygia guttata (zebra finch), 4795 nucleotides. Lineage: Eukaryota; Metazoa; Chordata; Aves; Passeriformes; Estrildidae. The record is from RefSeq and is a predicted model, not a curated record.